UGCUCCUUACUCCUCCCUGUCCUACUGAACCUCUACUGUAUUUUCAUAUUUCCCUCCCAUUUCUUUCUCUUUCUCUUUCCAUGUAUUACUCAAAUACCUCCAGAUCAGAGGCAGCUUUUUGCCAUUUUUCUUCUGCACGCAACAGUGACCAUCUUCUUUAGAGAGGUAAGAUCACUUCCAGUCUCCAGAGAGGUGCCUUGCCCAAGACCCUCCACCUUUUGGCUCAUCGGGACCUCAGGGUCCCCCCACCAUUAAGGUUGUAUAAGGGGAUGCCUCCUCAUUCUCUGGUGAAAGUCUUUCCAGUGACAGGAGACAUUAAAGGACACUUUGAUCUUGACCCGCCACCCCAGUCCAUCCUUUACAACAGGGGAGCUACCCAGUCUAUUCCAGGGGACUCCCCCUUAGGUUGUCUUACAAAUAAUUUUAAGACCCUCCACUUCCAAACUCACCUCAAACUAACACCUCAUUAGGCUUAGUACACAGAUCUGGCUACAGUCUAAAUUAGACAAGUUAAGUUAAUGGCCUGAAUUUGGAAUUUGGGAUCAAAAAUCCUCCAAGGGAGAUGGGUAUGUGGCUCUGUAGUAGAAACAGUUAUCUGGCAUGUGUGAGGCCCUGGGUUUGAUUAUCAGCACUGCAUAUAAACAAAUAAAAUAAAGUUCCAUCAACUUUUAAAAAAAUAUUUAAAAAAAAAAUCUUCCAAGACUUAGACAAUUUAUUCCAAUGAAAUGGCAAAUGGCCUGAGGUUCCUUACCUCCGAGCUUUCUUUUAUCUUCACUCAAGGACCUCAUUAUGUGCUGGGAGCCAUUUGCCAAGUAGGUAUGACAAUUUCCUUGCCAGCGUACCCCAUGUUGCUUAGUGGAAGGACUCGUGGAAAUAGGACAUUUUGCAGUGACAU
RNAcentral lists this long non-coding RNA (895 nucleotides) under Marmota monax (woodchuck). Lineage: Eukaryota; Metazoa; Chordata; Mammalia; Rodentia; Sciuridae. The record is from RNAcentral.